UCCUGGCUCAGGACGAACGCUGGCGGCGUGCCUAAUACAUGCAAGUCGAACGGUCUUUUCUAUGGAAGCUUGCUUCCACUGAGAAGAUAGUGGCGAACGGGUGAGUAACACGUGGGUAACCUGCCCAUAAGAGGGGGGAUAACAUCCGGAAACGGGUGCUAAUACCGCAUAGUUUUCUUGAUCGCAUGAUCGGGAAAGGAAAGACGGCCUUUGUGCUGUCGCUUAUGGAUGGACCCGCGGCGUAUUAGUUAGUUGGUGAGGUAACGGCUCACCAAGACGAUGAUACGUAGCCGACCUGAGAGGGUGAUCGGCCACAUUGGGACUGAGACACGGCCCAAACUCCUACGGGAGGCAGCAGUAGGGAAUCUUCCGCAAUGGACGAAAGUCUGACGGAGCAACGCCGCGUGAGUGAAAGAAGGUUUUCGGAUCGUAAAACUCUGUUGUCAGAGAAGAACAAGUUGGAGAGUAACUGCUCCAGCCUUGACGGUAUCUGACCAGAAAGCCACGGCUAACUACGUGCCAGCCGCCGC
Molecule: ribosomal RNA, 530 nt
Filed under: uncultured bacterium
Lineage: Bacteria
Description: bacterial SSU rRNA
Rfam family: Bacterial small subunit ribosomal RNA
Source: RNAcentral